AUCAAGUCAUCAAUUGCAUUCUUAGUUCUUGGAGUUCUCACCAUUCUCUUUCCAACCGAGGAAGGUCCAACCCUUCAGGUUGCUAUAUCACUUAUAGCUACUUUCUAUUUCAUACAUGAUCGAUUGAAGAGCAAACUCCGAGCAUUCCUUUAUGGGUAUGUCUAGAAUUUCAUCUCGUUUCCCUUUUUGAACUUCAUGAUAGAACAUAAAAUAUUAAUGUACAUAAAUAUUAACCGAGUACAUGAUAGAACAUGAUAACUUCAAGUUAUAUUAAUGUACACAAUAGCUUCAUUUCUUUUUCAAAAAAAUGAUAGAACAUAAAUAUUAACCGGGUAUGAACCAUCUUUUUUGGUUGAGUGGCUGACUGAUUACUCUUCUUUUCUCCUACAUACUUGGGGGCCAUUUGAGCCUCCAACUUCAAUUGGGUGAAGUGGGCUAUGUGACUCACUGUUUGGACUUCCAAUUAUAGUGGCUAGUGAUCCGACUAGUAUGACCCUCAGUUAACUACACUAUUACUAUUUCCCAUCUUCUAUCCUCGCUAACUCAAUUUAAAACAGUGCACCUGAAACAAAUACUAUAUAAAAUAGAUUCGAAUAGUCUCCACUCUAAAGACAAACUGUUAUAAAUUUAUAACUAACUCAUGUCCCAAACUGAUAUAUGAUAUGAUUGUUGGGUUUGAUUUAUUUGAGUUCUCCAAUGGUACAGGGCUGGAGCUUUUAUCUUCUCAUGGCUUGUGGGAACCUUUUUGAUGGUAUCUGUGAUUCCCCCAGUAAUCAAAGGACUGAGAGGCUUUGAAGUAACUACUUCAUUA
This 811-nucleotide long non-coding RNA is filed under the name Cucumis sativus (cucumber). Its description in RNAcentral is "long non-coding RNA (CSAT_LNC001407)". The record is from RNAcentral. Lineage: Eukaryota; Viridiplantae; Streptophyta; Magnoliopsida; Cucurbitales; Cucurbitaceae.